CGCACAUUGCGCCCCUUGGUAUGCCGAGGGGCAUGCCUGUUCGAGCGUCAUUAUCACCCCUCAAGCCCUCUAGGCUUGGUAUUGGACUCUGAGUCACGGUUUGGCCCGUGACUGGUCUCAAAGAUAGUGACGACGUCCCAGAGGGAACCGGUACGAGGAGCUUUUUGUUAAGCAUGUACGGGGAAGACUCUGCGGACGGCGGUCUCAUAACCAUUGAUAAAAAUCAAGUGUUGACCUCGGAUCAGGUAGGAAUACCCGCUGAACUUAA
Molecule: unclassified non-coding RNA, 268 nt
Filed under: Chaetothyriales sp.
Lineage: Eukaryota; Fungi; Ascomycota; Eurotiomycetes; Chaetothyriales
Description: partial contains 5.8S ribosomal RNA, internal transcribed spacer 2, and large subunit ribosomal RNA
Source: RNAcentral